This 8333-nucleotide long non-coding RNA is filed under the name Sus scrofa (pig). RNAcentral's name for it is "lncRNA (ENSSSCG00025018928.1)". The record is from RNAcentral. Lineage: Eukaryota; Metazoa; Chordata; Mammalia; Artiodactyla; Suidae.
AUUGCAGGUGACUUUUUACUAAGUGUCUUCACAAAAUAACAUGGCUCACCAGCCUUCCAGUUUGCUUUUUAAAGUUCCCUUGCCUCCUGCCUCCAACCACCAAACCAAGGGCAGCACCAGAUCAGUUUUGGUUUGGUUGAUAAGUAAUACCAUCCUAAGUUGGAACCUCUGUGUUAGUAAGAUCAGGCCAUGGCUGUGACAACUCCAAAAUUUCACUGGUUUAACCCAACACAUGUUCAUUUUUCACUCACACAAGAGCCUAAUGUUUGUUUUAUGGAGUGAUCCACAUGGGACGUUUCAUUCAGGUUGGUGCGUCUUAGAUCCAGGCGCCUUCCGCUGUCUCCGCGACCCUCUAAGGCCUCAGUGCAGCGUGGCUCCGUAGGGAGAGUGUGGAAAAUCCUCUCGCUGCUCUGAAUGAUCCAGGCGUAUCUAUAGAUGUUGUUCGUGGCUUCUGCCUAAACUUGACGAGGUUGUGAGAGAAAGAGAUCCUUAAAAGCAUUCAAGUCGAGAUGUUAAUUAAGUAUGCGCAGGUCUGGACUUUAGGAGGAAGGCCAGUGCUGGCGAUUUCAAUUUAGGAGCCAUCAAGACGUGGAGGAUAUUUAAAGGUGCAGGACCAGAUGCGUGCAGCGGGCAUUGUACACGGCUCGGGAAGAGAACAGGGCCAAAGGCAGAACUCUGGGCCGUUCCGCAUUUAGAAGGAAGUCUAGAGAAUCUGGCAAAGAAGUUUACAAAGGAGGUGUCAGUGAGUAGAAUGCACACUGAGACACUGGCACGUCCCAAGUUCCAAAAAAAGAAAGUGUUUCAAGAAAGAAGAAAUGCGUGGUCUUGCAGGUCCGAGGAGAGCCAAGGAUAGAGCAGGGCACUGGGUGGAAGGCCACUGGUAACCUUGACAGAAGCAGAGGCUUUGGAACGGUGGGGGAAAAGCUGAGUCUAAGUUGGCUUUAGAGAAAGCAGAGCAGGGAAAGGGACACGAGCUGGAGAACAAGGAAGAGAGGAGCUGCGUGAAGGAGCGAAGCCUGACAGCGAGUCGGUCAUCCCUCCAGUAGCAGGAGGGGAAUUGAAGAGGAAGAGAAAAAGGCGUCCCUGUCUGAUGAAAUGUGACUGACGGGAGAGGGAUGCCAUUUGUGGACCUGCACCGAGAGUGGCCUUGGAAAAUGACCAUCCCUUCUGGAAAGGAAAAAAUAAGAUUGGGUUUGUGGAUUCGUGGUGGAAGGAGACAUUCUUUCAUGAUUUCUCCCAUUUUUGUCAGAGAAAAAGAACAAAGUAGGACCACCCAUAUAGGGUGGGGCGUGGGCUUUGGAGAUGCGAGGACAAGGAACACAGAGCUUUCUCAGAAAACGCGACCUUACUCUCAGUACCGCCCCUGGGGUGCGUCCGCUCCAGCUAAAGCUUGAAGGGCAGGAGGGUGUCGGGCAGGGCAGGGACAGACCUUGGCCGGAGUGGCUGGGUCUCAGCUGGCUGCUCACCACAAGGGCGGGAGGUGCUCAGCCUGGUGCAGGCCUGGGCGAACGCAGAGUUUCUGUCCGACUUGGACACAGCUUCACAGGACAAGGCGCCGCGGCUGCUCUGGAACUUUACAGGCACAGCUGAAGCAGAGUUGCUUUUUCGGUUCAGGGCAGCUCAUUCGCACACAGCCUCUUGGGCAGGGCUUCUAAACUAGCUUUGGUGAACGAAUGUUUAGCUUUGGUUCCUAUUUUCUUCUUUAACUACACAGUCAUCUUGGAUGGACAGUUUUGUAAAAUACACACAUUAAACUAUUUUUAAAAAAUUGAAUGACAAUUCAUAUAAGAUACAAGACUCAAUAUUUUGAUUCUGUUCAACAAAUCAAAAAUAUAUAUGUGCGCCAAUAAAUCUAAUCUGAACAGACACACAACAAGGAAAAUAAACAAUUACAUUAUUUACUGGAAGUAUGUGUGUAGGCGGUUCAUGGAGACAGUCUCUCCUGUGGUCAUAACUUGGCUCUCCAUCUGUGAAUCAGCAGCCCUUGCAUGUGACAUAGCGAUUCCCACACUAAGCACCUAAAAAUCACUCUUAGAGUCCAUCUGUAUAAACCUUUUCAAGUUGUGUAGUGACACAGGAACUGCAUUUUUUUGUUUUGUUUUGUUUUUGUUUUUCACUUAUCUAAUAAGACCUGGUGACAAGGGCUGCUAUUAUUUUAUAUUUUUAAGCUUUGCAAGAAGUCAGCAACACUGAGGCACUUAGAAGACAUUAUGUCACAUUAGGUGUUUUCCUCCCAGAGAUGGUUACUGCGUUUUGGCAAAAUUAAAAUCCCGCUAGGCUCUUUCUCCCACUCACAUUGGCCUUCGCGAGCAUCGUCGUGGGAAACCAUCGUGGCGCGCGGACUGGGCUGCUGCCUGAUGCUCCUAAGCCUCUUGCUCUCAGAAACCGCCGCGUUUCUCCCCUGGGCUUUGGCAGCACUAGAUCCCGGUCAUAGGAUCGCGUUUUAGCCUGAGGAACUGCUUUUGGGAAAAGAGUUGGCUCGCUUUUAAAUUGGUCGAAUAUGGGACUAAUUCUAUAUUAAUUUUGCAAAUGCUGUCAUUUUAAGUGUUCUUUAGAAGUGAGGUACAUCAGAAACAUGACAUGAAAUUAAUUCAAUUUGUGAGGCCAUAAAACUUUCAUAAUAAAUCUUAUUCCAGUGAGAGCCUAACGAGCCCACACAAACAUUUGAGAAUCUUCUGGCUAAGACAGAAUCCAGUGUGAAAUGGAAGAGGAUAUUUCUGGCUUUUAUUUCCUUGGACGUUUAACCCAUGGGUGAAAGAGAUUUUGAUGUUGCUAAUUAUUUUAGCCUCCACCAUAUAAAGACGUCUGAUUUGUGACUUUUUCUUUCUCUGCCUCUAGGAGAGAGUAAGGGCUCAGACAAGGUUGUGAGUGUUAGAGAGAAGGGAAUUCGAUGAUGGGAGUAAGCUUAUAGGAGACUUUUUAAUAAAAAAGCUUUUUUAAAAUUGAUGUAUAGUUGAUUGACAAUGUUGUGUUAGUUUUAGGUAUACAGCAAAGUGAUUCACUGAUACAUAUGUGUGUGUGUGUGUGAUCUUUUUCAGAUUCUUUACCCAUGUAUGUUGUUAUAAAAUACUGAGUAUAGUUCCCUGUGCUAUUCAGCAGGUCCUUGCUUAUUUUAUAUACAGUAAUGUGUAUAUGUUACUCCCAAAUUCCUGAUUUAUCCCUCCCUCAGACCUGUCCACUUUGGUUUUUCUAUGUCUGUGAAUUUGUUUCCACUUUAUAAAUAACUCAUUUGUAUCGUUUCAUUAGAUUUCACAUAUUAAGUGAUGUACAUUUGUCCUUGACUUCACUUAGUAUGAUAAGCUCUAGGUCCAUCCAUGUUGCUGCAAAUGGUGUUAUUUCAUUCUUUUUUAUGGCUGAGUAAUAUUCCAUCACAUAUGUGUACUGCAUCUUCUUUAUCCCUUCAUUUCUUGAUGGACAUUUAGUUGCUUCCAUGCCUUGACUAUUAUGAAUAGUGGUGCAGUGAACAUUGGGGUCCAUGUAUCUUUUUGAGUUAGGGUUCUCUCCAGAUAGAUGCCCAGGAGUGGGAUUGCUGGGUCACAUAUAUACUAGUGGUAGUCCUAUAUUCAGUUUUUAUGUAAUCCACAUACUGUUCUCCAUAGUGGCUGUGCCAAAUUACAUUCCCAACAACAGUGCAGAAGAGUUCCUUUUGUACCACACCCUUCCUAGCAUUUAUUAUUUGUAGACUUUUUGAUGAUGACCAUUCUAGCUGGUCUGAGAUUAUAUCACAUUGUAGUUUUGGUUUGCAUCUCUCUGAUAAUUAGUAAUGUUGAGUAUCUUUUCAUGUGCUUUUUUGGCCAUCUGUCUAUUUUUGGAGAAAUGUCUAUUUAGAUUUUCUGCCCAUUUUUUAAAGUUGGGUUGUUUGUUUAUUCUGACAUUGAGCUAUAUGAGCUGUUUGUGUAUUUUGGAUAUUAAUCCAUUGUCAGUCACAUCACAUGCAAAUAUUUUCUCCCAUUCUGUAGCUCAUCUUUUCAUUUUAUUAAUGGUUUCCUUUGCUGUGAAAAAGCUUUUAAGUUUAAUUAGGUCCCAUUUGUUUAUUUUUGUUUUUAUUUUCAUUUUUCUAGGAGGUGGAUCCCCAAAGAUACUGCUGCCAUUUAUGUCAAAGAGUGUUCUGCCUAUUUUUCCUCUAAGAGUUUUAUGGUAUCCAUCUUUAUGUAUGUCUUUAGUACAUUUUGAGUUUAUUUUUGUGUAUGGUGUUAGAGAAUAUUCUAAUUUCAUCCUUUUACAUGUAACUGUCUAAUUUUCCCUGUCGCUUACUGAAAAGAGACUCUCUUUUCUCCAUUGUAUAGUCUUGCCUCUCUUGUCACAGAUUAACUGACCAUAGGUGUGUAGGCUUAUUUCUGGGCCUUCUAUCAUGUUUCCUUGAUCUGUUUCUGUUUUUGUGCCGGUAUCAUACUGUUUUGAUUAUGGUAGCUGUGUAGUAUAGGGCUUAUAUGUAAAUUCUGACCAUCUCUAUCAAGCGCUUCUUUAUUAUUGAAGAAAUUUUAUCUUGCCAUUUGAUCUCUUUGCAAAAUGUAUGCUAGCUUAUAUUUAACUAUAGGGAAUAUCAAAAUGUGGAUAAGUAAUAAAAUAGAGUUGCUGCAAUUUUUGUCUUUUCUUAAAAAAAAAAAACAAAAAAAACAAACCUCUAUGCUGACUUAUUUCAGAGACUUCCAGUGGAAAAUUUGAUCUGUCCAUCAUUAAUCCCUCGAGUAUUCCCAAAGAAAAAGUGAUUGCCGUUAGAGAACUAGGUACAGUGUUGGUACAAGACUUUGCAAGAAACUGAUGUUAAUCUCAUUUCCCAGGUGAUGGGAGUAUAGGCUGCAACCCUGGAUGGAUAGGAUAGAUCUAUGGAAUUAAAAGAACCGAAACCUGUCUCCUGUGUCCAUACUAAUUGAUUGUUUCACUUUACAAAGUUUUGGGAUAAUACUCUGACAGAGCAUUAGAUAACUGGCACUCCAUGACGGGCCUCCCCCGGAGAUGUGUCAGCCGUCUGCACGAAUCUAGGACUCGGGAGGGUCACUUUAUCCGAAUGCUAUGUCACGUGCUCCAGCCUGGCCAAGGGGUUAUUUUGUGUUGCAUUAAUUUUUUGCUGUUAUCUUGAGUCAGAACUCAGGCAGAGAAAAUGAUGCUAUUUAUUGAUAGAUUUAUAAAUUGCAGCAAUGUAAAUUAAUUGAAGAAUAAAAGCCUGGGACUAUAAAUUUAGCCAGGUAGGAAAAACCCUGUUUGUAUUUUUAUGCCUCACAAUUACAUAGUCAAUUCUAAAGCAGCUAAACUAUUCCAAUAGCAUGCGUGCACUUUAAUGAAAAGCUGCUUGCCAAAUUAUGCAGUGCAAAAUCACUGAGCCACAUGGUGAGUCACUGGAAUGCUUAGGUUCUAAACUGUUAAAAUGUCUUAAUUUUAAACUUUUACUGUUAUGGUAAAAGGUAAAAAUAGUAGAUAAUCAUAUGAUUAAAAAGUAUACAAUUACUCAUUCCCGAAACCAAAAAAUAAAGUGUUUUCUUCCCCCCAAAAGCUAUUAUUAAAUCUAGAGUUAAGUGAUUGAAAGAUAUGCUCCAUAGAAUUACCAGGAAUUUGGGAUAAACCGCUGUUUGCAUUUUAAUGCAGUCGUAUGUGGAUCCAUGUGCACAGAGUAGAGCUUGUAGAGCAGCCCCAGAGCUGGACAGGCCUAGUUCACUUACAUAAAAUACAGCAAAGGUGAUGCAUUUACUUCCUUGAGGUGCUGGGGGCCCCUCGGAUACUUGGUUAUUUGAAGAAAGAGGGAAAAUGUAUGGGGAAUCCUGAGGCAAACAAGAUAGGAAACCAGAUCCAGUUAGCAGAGCUGUGUGCUGAACCGAAUAGGAGGAGAUGUAGAAAGUUCGUGCACACCACACACUGACAUCAGGACACGGAACACCUCUGAGGGGAGGUGAAGCGUGCGUGGCCGAGUGACAUCCCACAGGAGGAAAAGAGCGGAUUCCCAAGUAGAUAAUGUGGGCGCAGGGCCACUUGCUUAAAAGGUCCUUGAACUUCAUUCGAGGCUCAGAUGGUGCUGCCUUGUAAUUCUGCAUUUUCGGGUAAGGGCCCUCCAUUUGUUUAGCACUAAGCCUUGAAAGUUAUGUAGCUUGUCCUGCAGGUGAGUGUGUUUGGUGGUUGACAGAGAGGCAGUUUUUAGUUUUGCUGUUCAGCACAAUCAUCUACAGGACACUUUGCUAUGAUAGAGACGGCAUAGGACAUUUCAGAAACAAAUUCUGGCUUUGCUAUUUCCUGUAUGAUCAUUUAGGCACAUUAUUUUAUUUUUUAUUUUUUGUCUUUUUCGUCUUUUUCGGGCCACACCCACAGCAUAUGGAGGUCCUCAGGCUAGGGGUCUAAUCAGAGCUGUUGCUGCUGGCCUACACCACAGCCACGCCAGAUCCAAGCCGCAUCUACAACCUACAUCACAGCUCAUGGCAACACCAGAUGUUAACCCACUGAUCAAGGCCAGGGAUCGAACCCUCAACCUCAUGGUUCCUAGUCGGGUUCGUUUCCGCUGUGCCAUGAUGGGAACUCCAAGACACAUUAUUUUACAUUUUACUACUCUGAUCCUUAGUUUCCUUCUCUGUCAAGAAAGAAGCUGCUGGUGUAUCACAUCGCAUACUUAUAUAUAUAUGGUAGAGGAAAUUAUAUAUUCUGUAGAUACACAAAUAUAAUUUUUUUUUGGUCUUUUUAGGGCCACACCUGUGGCAUGUGGAGAUUCCCAGGCUAGGGGUCAAAUCAGAGCUGCAGGUGCUGUCCUACACCACAGCCAUAGCAAUGCCAGUCGUGUCUAUGACUUACACCACAGCUCACGGCAAUGCCCUCAUCCUUAAGUUAGAGGCCAGGGAUCAAACUUGUGUCCUCAUGGAUACCAGUCAGAUUUGUUUCCGCUGAGCCCCAAUGGGAACUCCCACAAAUAUAGUUUUAAUAGCCAGUAUAAGAUUUCUUCUCAAGAUGAUUUAUGAAGUAGUUUGAUAUUUUCAUAUGCUCCGUGGGUUGGUAUCGGCGACCCUCAAAGGCAUGCGUUGGACAGAACAAUGGAAUAAAAAGAUGGCAAUAUCAUGAUAGUAAAGAAUAAUGAGAAGUUGGAGAGUCAGGGAAGGAAAAUGAGAGAAUUAGAGUGGGAGGUUUAUUGGAAAAGAUGAGAAAGGGAAGCAAAGGCCUUGCGAUGAAAUGGGAGACUGGCGAAUUGUGGCGAAUCAUGGGUGGUAAGGAAUUUCAGCUUUGGCACGGGUGCGACUUUCCAGAAUGAGAGUGUCUGUUAUCUAGGAGGAGUCAUUAUCAUGAUGGGAGAUCAGGCCUUCACGGGAACUUAUCGUAGGUAUAAGUCCCAGCUGCCAGUGGUUUUCUGCAAAGCAGAGUUCAGUGAUGGAAUUCCCUGCACAGAUUGGCCUGUGUUUAAGUGGAGGGACGAGACGUGGAACAGAAAUUAAUUCAAGAGUAGGUGAUAAAAUAACAUGGAACACCCUCAAACAAUAAGGCCCUAAAACCUUAUGAAUUUGGGAAAAGCAUGCAGAAAUUUGGCUUUCUGCAAAACACGAAUUACACGGCUUUUGCCAACUUUUAUUAAAAUCUUAAAAUACAAGGGAAAAUGGAUACAUGACUGAUUUAUUAUGGUUCAAAUUAGUGACAAGAUUGUAAUAUGCCUACGAUUGUGCCAUAUUCUCAUAGAUAUCAGACACUUUGAAAGUUAAUGUAGGUGCUAAUUGAAAAAUUUAUACAUAUUGUGUAUCAUAGUUUAAUAAAAACAAUUGAGUUUUAAUUGAAGAUAAUGAUAUUAAAUUGGAGGAGUAACAGUAUUUUCAGGGCCCUAGAUGUCUAAGAUGCUGUAAUAUUCUUAAAAUUUCAUCCCCUUCCCCCCCGGGUUAUGUCACGGCACACAGAUGUUCCCAAGCCAGGGAACCCGCCUCAUAACAGCAACUCGAGCCACUGCAGUGACAACGCUGGAUCCUUAACCUGCUGCAGCACAAGGCAAAUCCUCAUCCUUCAUUUAUCCUUCAGAGGAAUUAUUUGAACUUUAUGUUUAGGAAAUCUGUGUAGGCAUUAGAUUUUUGAAGAGAUUCAGAUUGUUGAGUUCUAAUUUGCUCUGUAGGAGUAACCUAGGAGAUUAUUUAUGUAAGGACAACUGUUUUCUAUUGUGUAAAAUCCUUCCUAUUAAAUACAAGUUAGGCGUUCCCAUUGGUGGUGUCUCUGUUGCACUAGGACACACAGUUCUAUACCUGGCUGGGCACAGUGAGUUAAAGGGUCCUGCGUUGGCACAGUGGUGGCAUAGGUCAUAAUCGCAUCUCGGAUCUGAUUGCCGGCUCCAGGAACUCCAUGGGCUGCAGGGCGGCAAAAAAAAAAAAAAAAAAAAAAAAAAAAAA